GAUGAACGCUAGCGGCAGGCCUAACACAUGCAAGUCGAGGGAGAAGCCCUUCGGGGCAGAAACCGGCGCACGGGUGCGUAACGCGUAUGCAACCUACCUUUCACAGGGGGAUAGCCCGAAGAAAUUUGGAUUAAUACCCCAUAAUAUUAUUGGAUGGCAUCAUUUGAUAAUUAAAAUUACGAUGGUGAAAGAUGGGCAUGCGUCCUAUUAGCUAGUUGGAGUGGUAACGGCACCCCAAGGCUACGAUAGGUAGGGGUCCUGAGAGGGAGAUCCCCCACACUGGUACUGAGACAGGGACCAGACUCCUACGAGAGGCAGCAGUGAGGAAUAUUGGUCAAUGGUCGGAAGACUGAACCAGCCAUGCCGCGUGCAGGAAGAAUGCCUUAUGGGUUGUAAACUGCUUUUAUAUGGGAAGAAUAAGGAGUACGUGUACUUUGAUGACGGUACCAUAUGAAUAAGCU
This 461-nucleotide ribosomal RNA is filed under the name Capnocytophaga granulosa. RNAcentral's name for it is "bacterial SSU rRNA". It matches the Rfam family "Bacterial small subunit ribosomal RNA", at positions 28 to 492 of the family's 1533-position model. Lineage: Bacteria; Pseudomonadati; Bacteroidota; Flavobacteriia; Flavobacteriales; Flavobacteriaceae. The record is from RNAcentral.